CAUGUUUAAAAGGAAAUAGCUUGCUUUUAAUUCAAAUUUCAAAAGUACACAAUUCAUUACUUGCUAACAAAAGUGAUCAAAAACACAUAAAUAAGAAUAACAAGAAGCAAUAUGUUCAGAAAGUACAUAAAUAACAACCACUUAAUGCGGAUUGAAAUUAUCAAUCUCAUAAUCCUCAUCCACUAAUCUUCUCAUUGCAGGUCUCACAGCUACUGGUUCCCUUUGUCAAUUUUGGUUGUGACGGGUGGUUUCUUGGCAUAUGAGCUUGUUGGUUUCUUGCCACUGGAUCUUGUUGACUGCUAGCCAUAUGAGCUUGUUUCUUCUUUGCCACAAGAACUUGUUUCUUGUUUGCAACCAUAACUUUAUCUGGUGAGGUGAUUUUCCUU
This 386-nucleotide long non-coding RNA is filed under the name Erythranthe guttata (spotted monkey flower). Its description in RNAcentral is "long non-coding RNA (EGUT_LNC000774)". Lineage: Eukaryota; Viridiplantae; Streptophyta; Magnoliopsida; Lamiales; Phrymaceae. The record is from RNAcentral.